CCACUAACCCUAGCCAGCGCCGCCCCCUUGUCCCUCUUCCUCUCCCGCCGCCGAGAGCCGCGCGCGCCGCCGCCUCCGCCGUCCAGAGCCGCGCACGCCGCCGCGCGCCGCCACCCCCAUCGCCCGCCGCCGCCUUCGUCUCGCGCCGCCGCGCGCCGCCACCUCCGUCGCCCCCCGCCGCCAUCGUCGUCCCCGUCGCGCCGCCGCCUCCGCCUCCUCCUCGCGGCGCCGCCUCGCGCUACCACCGUCGGUCGCCGGCCCCCGCCACGACCCCUUCGUUAGCUACCGGAUCCGGCGCCGUCCGUCUCCACCGCCGUCGUAGAAAGCCCGUAGGCCACCUGUGUCCUCUUGCCGCCCGAUGUGACGAGGAGCUCGGCGGCGCCACACGGAGCUCAACCGAUCCGCAUCAUCCACGCCACUUAAAGUGAUUAUGAUUUGUGAAUCAACGGAUUUGAGAUUUGAACCUAGACAAGGAAGGGCUCUUGGAGCAACUGCUACAGUCAGCUGCUCUACUGGUUAGUUGGUCACUUGGCCGUCACUUGUCAGCUGUGGCCUCGGUGCCGGUGAAGUGACCUGCGCGGUGGACAAGUGCAAGGAGGAGCUGAGCAGGUGCCACGACUAGCACCGGUGGCACAAGGUGUGUGAGGCGCUCUCCAAGCUGCCCGUCGUUGUCGCCGAUUGCUAAGUAUGAUGGGGAUGAGGAGGAGCAGAGGUGGCCUAAAUCUGAUGGACAAGAUUUUGGCAGUUUGGGAAGCAUUUGGGAUAUGGCAGGUAAUUUACACAAGCAUGAACCAUAAAAAGCAGGAUUUCUCCUACAUGAUUGCAUUAGCUCAAGUAUCAGAAGUAAUGGUGUAACUGGAAUCUAAGUCUUACUGAGGCAUAUAUGUGUGUUGCACUUAUCAAUUAACGUGUGACUGGGAGAGAUCAACUUUACUGCUUGUUGUUGCAUUUACAUAUCUUUCUGUCUAUCUAUUUAUUAUUUGACUUUGUGAUUCUUCACAUGUAUUGGAUGAAAUUCAUCGGCAACCUGCAUCACUUUCACUUUCCAUGGUCUCUGCCCAGGCUCCAGAAUCCGUGGUUAAUUCAUUACCAUGUAAGAGCUACAAAAAGCAGACAGCCCAAUGCAGUGAUAACAUGGAACAGUGAGAUUCUUACCAUUCAAAUUUUAUCAUUUACUUGUUGUCACCUAGGGCCAAAAAUAGUUCUGAGUGUCAUUGAAGAAUGUCAAGUUCGCCGCUACAAAUGCAUCACAUUAUCUUACGCGUUUGAAAUAACUAUGCUGUUCAUGUCCAUUAUCCAUCAAAAAAUAAAUUGAGACCCUGUACAAAAUCCUUAUUAUUUUAUUUGCCUUACAUCAGCCUUCUAAUA
Oryza sativa Japonica Group (Japanese rice) is the source of this 1368-nucleotide long non-coding RNA. RefSeq lists it as uncharacterized. The record is from RefSeq and is a predicted model, not a curated record. NCBI's taxonomy places the organism in Eukaryota, Viridiplantae, Streptophyta, Magnoliopsida, Poales, Poaceae.